RNAcentral lists this ribosomal RNA (321 nucleotides) under uncultured eukaryote. RNAcentral describes it as "partial 18S ribosomal RNA". It matches the Rfam family "Eukaryotic small subunit ribosomal RNA", at positions 1470 to 1796 of the family's 1831-position model. The record is from RNAcentral.
CCCUUAGAUGUUCUGGGCCGCACGCGCGCUACAAUGAUGAAUUCAACGAGUUUAUAACCUUGGUUGAAAAGCCUGGGUAAUCUUUUGAACUUUCGUCGUGAUGGGGCUAGACCCUUGCAAUUAUUGGUCUCCAACGAGGAAUUCCUAGUAAACGCAAGUCAUCAGCUUGCAUUGAUUACGUCCCUGCCCUUUGUACACACCGCCCGUCGCUCCUACCGAUUGAGUGCUCCGGUGAACAAUUUGGACUGCUUUGAUUCGAUUAGAAUUUGAAGCGGAAAGUUUAGUGAACCUUAUCACUUAGAGGAAGGAGAAGUCGUAACA